RNAcentral lists this transfer RNA (67 nucleotides) under Dicyathifer mannii. RNAcentral describes it as "tRNA-Val". The record is from RNAcentral. Lineage: Eukaryota; Metazoa; Mollusca; Bivalvia; Myida; Teredinidae.
AGGAAAUAGCAUAAAAUUAGUGUAUCUUGCUUACACCAAGAAGGUGGUUAAUAAGGGCCUUUUCUCU